This is a non-coding RNA of Pimephales promelas (fathead minnow), 1944 nucleotides long. Lineage: Eukaryota; Metazoa; Chordata; Actinopteri; Cypriniformes; Leuciscidae. The record is from RefSeq and is a predicted model, not a curated record.
GCUAUCAGGAUGUGAAGACGGUUCCAACCAGUAUAACAAAAAGUGUUUAUAAAACAAAUUGCCGACCCUACCUCUAACUAAACUUUGUGUUUUAUAUGACAGCUGAAAUUGUGUUAGUGGAAUGUGUAAUUAAUAUAUAAUUAUUAUACCAGCAAAAUAAUUUACAGGUAACGUUCCACUACUCUCGUAUAAGAAAAUUUUGAUAAUGCACUGUAUGUGUAAUAUUUAGCUCACUUUAGAAAAAGAACAGUACUUUGGUAGUAUUUAACCAAUUUCUGUUUAUAUGAGUAGCUUUCAUUUUUCAGCUAAUCUUUUCAUUCAUAAGUGCAUACCUGUACUUCGUUUUGUGCCUCUUUUGUUUAUUUUCUGCUCUCACGUCACAACAUGGGAAGACAUAUUGUGUUAACACCAUAACUACCAACAAAUAGUUCCUGGUGAAAGACAUUUUUGCGAUGUGGCAUAUCCUACACUCCCCCUCUGACCACGGCUGUCCGUCUGAAACCACCUCGCCAUGGUCAUUGUCCAAAUGAAAUACACAGGCUGACCUCAAGCCAGACCACAUUUCACACCAGCAGAGUCGACAACGCUCUUGGCCUCUCAAUGGAUAUCUAUGCUGAAAUGGGAACGCAUCAGGCAGGAGAACAAGAACGAGACUUCCUCUGAGCCGUGGAUAUGGCAGUAAUGAAGGCCAGGAGCAUCUGGCCGACUGUGAAUGGCUGAUUGCUGAAGAUGUGAGGGUGUGUCCUCUCUCCAGAGACACGUGAGAGUGACGCCGGAUUGGACGAUCUGUUUGCGGAGGGCGUGGUGUGUGCCUGAUCUGAGCCGGAGGAGGAGGACGAGGAGUAGAGACACAGGAGGAGGGAGAUUACUCUCGUUCCCACCACACCCUGCCAGGCCGAGGAGGACCGACAAACACACAAUGUUUCACUCAAGACUUUGAGUGUGUGUUUUACAGUGGAAUACUAACUACUCUACAAAACAUUGUAGUGAGCACUUAUCUGCAGAAAAAAAACAUCUUAAAUUGGUUUGAGAGAACUUUUGCUAAUUGGCUGACCAGGCUGGGAGAUCUUACACAAGUCGGGUUGGUUUGAGUUUUUACAGCAGUGAUUUCAUCUUAAAGUCAGUUGUUUAUACUAUGAACAAAUAAGACCUUGUAUUUUUAAUUGACUUUAAAAGAGUUCAUUGGAACAUAAUGUAAGACUAUAAACAGUUUAUUCUGUUUUCUCUCAUUCCAGCAUUUUCCUCUCCAACAUCAACCCUUCUGUCUGAAGUGUGAGGGUCAUUUAGAAUAUUGGAGCUCUCUGUCACAAAUCCCUUUUCAUGAGGAGGCAGAACAAACACAAUAUAUAUUAUUAAUAUGGAAGGUUGCAAAAAGGACACGUUUACUAAAAUCACAAUGAUAGACUUAAAACAUGUGGUUUAAUUGUAUAAAAACAUUUUCAAUCAAAGUAAAAGGUGAAGUAUACAUUUAUUCACAUGGCUCUUAAAGUGGUUGAAUAAAAUGUCACAUCUUUAGACAUACACUAUUUUUCUUCUAGUAUAAGUGAUGUGAAACAGAUUUAGAGAGAAAACAAUGCUCUCAUUCACUUAAAAUAAUCCAUUAUUGAAAUAAUUAUAAAACACAAACAGAAAUCUCAUUCAUGUGGCCACAUUGAUAUGGUAAUUAUAUUGCUAAGUAAAUUACAAUGCAGUUCUGUGUAAAGGGCAGAGUAAAAUUAGCAUAGACAAUGCAAGUGGAGAUUACAGUCUAGGCAAUAUUUCUCCAUUUUCUGACAUACAAUUUGUACGUCAUUAACUUAUAUAAAUAAACAGAUAUUCAUUGAGCGGCCUGUUGAAAUGGACACUUUCAUUUGGCUUUGUUUUGUCAUGCAUUUGUCUCAUUUAUGCUUAAUUCUUCAAUGAUUGUCACAAUAAAUUUAAAAAGUCAAUCUUUAUGACUUGUGU